Molecule: non-coding RNA, 75 nt
Organism: Trichonephila inaurata madagascariensis
Lineage: Eukaryota; Metazoa; Arthropoda; Arachnida; Araneae; Nephilidae
Source: the annotation of a GenBank genome assembly
GUCCCUGUAGCGCAAUAGAUAGCCCGUUGAACUUUUAAUCCAAGGGUCAUGUGGGUUCAAAUCCCACCUGGAAUG